This is a long non-coding RNA of Melospiza melodia melodia, 2371 nucleotides long. RefSeq lists it as uncharacterized. The record is from RefSeq and is a predicted model, not a curated record. The transcript is spliced from 4 exons. Lineage: Eukaryota; Metazoa; Chordata; Aves; Passeriformes; Passerellidae.
UGGCGUUCGCCCCACUGACAGAGCCGAGCGCGGCACGACCUCCUGCUUCUCAGCGCGGGUGGCGGCUGCCGCUCAUGCCCCGGAGCGACCGCUGAUGGGGGAAGGCGGUGGGAGACGGGAUCCCGGCUCCAAAGGUUCAGGGAAGUGGGCAGGACGUACAGAUUCCACAUGUCUGAGGAGCAGCUGCCAUCAAAUUACUCAGGAACACUGCUUUCCCUCCCACCUUCAUAGGUGCACCUGAAAGAUGGUAGACAUCUGUGAACUUGGAGCCUCAAGAAGUUUGACAGCUCCAGUAUCAAGGGAGAUUUGCUCUCUUCAGAAGUUUCAGGGGCUGGUUCUGCACCUCCUUUGAGCACUGCAAGCUCUUGUGACCCUCAGUUCCAGGAGUGUCUUCAUCACUGGUUUUAGGUUGAGUGUGCACUGUGACUGUGCAUGAGCAAAUACACGUCACUCCUUCACAAGUUUGGCUGGACUAUAUCUUACAAGCUUAAAAGUAAGCUUAUAUCAAAAUAAGAGGUCUCCCAUUCAUCUAUCCUGUUAUAUCCACAUGUACUAAGGAACUUCUGGUGACCAUUCUUUGGCAUUGGCAUUAACAUAAUGGUGGAUUCACCAGGAUUAGGGGACUGAUAUGUCUGAAACCCCUUAAAAAUAGUCAUAUCCCCCCCCCCACACACACACAAACAUACUUUCUUUAAUUCUGAGCUGGAAUAAUUUCCUUAUCCAGUUUUCCAUGUAGCUGCACAAGGAAGAGACUUUCCUUGUGGUUAUGCAAAGACAGGUCCUUUCCUUUCCAGCCUGAAUACAGGUCACCUGGGGCAAUGAUGUUGAGGAGAGGGGAGCAUGGCUGGAGAGAAGAAUUCUUGUAAAACUAGACUCUCAAGCUCUCUCUUUGGCAAACGAGAUUAGUUUCCUCCACAACACUACCAAGCAUAGUCCUGUGGAUGAGUUGGUAGUGGAGGACAGGGGAUUGUGUAGUGAGAUACAACCCACUGUUUUGGAUGUUAUGGCUUGAUUCUAAUGGUAUCAUUUUCAGUCUUUGAUUAUAAGUCAGAGUCAAGUUCAAACAUAUGUUGUUUAAAAUAUGUAUUCACUUCAGGCAAAAGACACACCCAGAAGCUGUGUAAGUAUGAUGAUUUUUUUGCAUAUCAUUUAUGCCCUGACAUCAGGCACUGCUUUCAAAUAAUCUACUUCCAGAAAAAGUCAACCCUAAAUCUGACUGGGUUUAGCAGAUUAUUAAAAAUAAUUUACCUAUUGCUAAAUUCAGCAAAACUAAACAAAGUACUAUACAUUUUCUGUUGUGAAUUCAAAUUAGAACAUCUUUCGUAACAUUAGUAAGAGUUCAGUUAAUCUAAUUACAGGUUUUUUAUGCAUUUUGCAAAGGAAUCUCGAGUCAUUACAUCAGACAAUUACAUAUAGUUGUAUGUAGUUAUGUGUAGUUAGAUUUGCAGGAUUAAUAUCAGAAGGUCAAAAGGACUGAACAGUUACAUCUACUAAAUUUUAAAUGAUUUUGUCCACUAAGGCCACCUCAGGAAUUAAAAGUCUCCCCAUGUACUCCUGGAUCACCUUGUAAUCCAAAUCUGUGUCUGGUAUUCAUUUCAGAUUUUUCUAUUUUCAUGGGUAAAUGAAGUGAUUUGGGUAGGGUUCAGCAGCAAAAUGCAGAAGCGAAGCAGAACAACAUUGCUUACACUCUGACACAUCUAACUUCUGAUAGAGUGAGAUAGAAAGCAAUGGCCCAUUUAUUUACUUUCCUGUCAGUAAAUGGCCCUGUAUGAGCAGUGGUAGAAUUAAUGUCCUGUCUAUUUAUUCCUAAACUUUCACAGUUCAGUUUUAUUUGUUGUCAAAGAAGAUGUUUAGGGCUAUCUGAGAGAAGGAAAUGAAGAGUUCAUGCUUUCAAGAUCAUUAUGUCUUUUGGAGAUUCACCAAUUUAGUCCAUUAAAAUAAUAAUCUUAAGGCUAACAACUUUUUUUUUCUAAAACCACAGCUGGAGGUAGAGAUGAACCAGUGAGACCCAUCCUGCUUAUAAAACAAAAGUGGAGCAGGACAUGCUUUUUGUGGAGGCUGCUUGCCUACAUGAAAUACCUUGCAAUAGGCAAGAGAACGUUUUGCCUCAGGCACCUGUCUGGAGGUUACUGAAGAGUCCCACAAAACCUCUGUAUUGUAUGCAGAAGAGCCUUUUCACUUCCUUGUGUGUCACAUCCAAUAUCUUGGAAUAUUUUUCAUGGAAAUUACUCUAAAUGAAGAGCUUUUCUGCCUUCCUUUACUUCUGCCCAUUUGGUAUUGCAAUUGAUACUACUUUUAGUUUAUAGUGGCACUAAGACUUCAUGACCAUUUAUUUCAAACCCUGUGAUUAACCAUCGCUAUUUCAUUUGCA